Molecule: microRNA precursor, 70 nt
Organism: Gorilla gorilla gorilla (western lowland gorilla)
Lineage: Eukaryota; Metazoa; Chordata; Mammalia; Primates; Hominidae
Source: Ensembl
UAUGGAGUGGACUUUCAGCUGGCAUUUACGGGUCAGAGUUCUUACAGAGCUGCCUGUUCUUCCACUCCAG